This 253-nucleotide ribosomal RNA is filed under the name uncultured bacterium. Its description in RNAcentral is "partial 16S ribosomal RNA". It matches the Rfam family "Bacterial small subunit ribosomal RNA", at positions 524 to 776 of the family's 1533-position model. The record is from RNAcentral.
UACGUAGGGUGCAAGCGUUAUCCGGAAUUAUUGGGCGUAAAGAGCUCGUAGGCGGUUUGUCGCGUCUGCUGUGAAAACUGGAGGCCUACACCUCAGCCUGCAGUGGGUACGGGCAGACUAGAGUGCGGUAGGGGAGAUUGGAAUUCCUGGUGUAGCGGUGGAAUGCGCAGAUAUCAGGAGGAACACCGGUGGCGAAGGCGGGUCUCUGGGCCGGAACUGACGCUGAGGAGCGAAAGCGUGGGGAGCGAACAGG